Non-coding RNA from Suillus lakei, 130 nucleotides. Lineage: Eukaryota; Fungi; Basidiomycota; Agaricomycetes; Boletales; Suillaceae. The record is from the annotation of a GenBank genome assembly.
GGCCGACUAGCUCAGUUGGUUAGAGCGUCGUGCUAAUACGGGUUCGCUGGUAAGCGCGUGCUCAGUACUUCACGCCCUUACCGUCGGACUUGAUACGCGAAGGUCUUGGGUUCGAUCCCCACGUUGGCCA